This 826-nucleotide ribosomal RNA is filed under the name uncultured Planomicrobium sp. RNAcentral describes it as "bacterial SSU rRNA". It matches the Rfam family "Bacterial small subunit ribosomal RNA", at positions 60 to 871 of the family's 1533-position model. The record is from RNAcentral. Lineage: Bacteria; Bacillati; Bacillota; Bacilli; Caryophanales; Caryophanaceae.
AGUCGAGCGGAAGUUGAGAGCUUGCUCUUCACUUCAGCGGCGGACGGGUGAGUAACACGUGGGCAACCUGCCCUGCAGAUCGGGAUAACUCCGGGAAACCGGUGCCAAUACCGAAUAGUUUGUCCUCCCUCCUGGGAGGAUACGGAAAGACGGUUUCGGCUGUCACUGCAGGAUGGGCCCGCGGCGCAUUAGCUAGUUGGUGGGGUAACGGCCCACCAAGGCCACGAUGCGUAGCCGACCUGAGAGGGUGAUCGGCCACACUGGGACUGAGACACGGCCCAGACUCCUACGGGAGGCAGCAGUAGGGAAUCUUCCGCAAUGGACGCAAGUCUGACGGAGCAACGCCGCGUGAGUGAUGAAGGUUUUCGGAUCGUAAAACUCUGUUGCGAGGGAAGAAACCGUGCCAGCUAACUACUGGCACCUUGACGGUACCUCGCCAGAAAGCCACGGCUAACUACGUGCCAGCAGCCGCGGUAAUACGUAGGUGGCAAGCGUUGUCCGGAAUUAUUGGGCGUAAAGCGCGCGCAGGCGGUCCCUUAAGUCUGAUGUGAAAGCCCACGGCUCAACCGUGGAGGGUCAUUGGAAACUGGGGGACUUGAGUGCAGAAGAGGAAAGUGGAAUUCCAUGUGUAGCGGUGAAAUGCGUAGAGAUGUGGAGGAACACCAGUGGCGAAGGCGACUUUCUGGUCUGUAACUGACGCUGAGGCGCGAAAGCGUGGGGAGCGAACAGGAUUAGAUACCCUGGUAGUCCACGCCGUANACGAUGAGUGCCAAGUGUUAGNGGGUUUCCGCCCCUUAGUGCUGCAGCUAACGCAUUAAGCACUCCG